This 460-nucleotide ribosomal RNA is filed under the name uncultured bacterium. RNAcentral's name for it is "partial 16S ribosomal RNA". It matches the Rfam family "Bacterial small subunit ribosomal RNA", at positions 338 to 795 of the family's 1533-position model. The record is from RNAcentral.
CCUACGGGUGGCAGCAGUGAGGAAUAUUGGUCAAUGGUCGCGAGACUGAACCAGCCAAGUCGCGUGAAGGAUGACUGCCCUGCGUGUUGUAAACUUCUUUUAUAAGGGAAUAAAGUGUGGCACGUGUGCCCUUUUGUAUGUACUUUAUGAAUAAGGAUCGGCUAACUCCGUGCCAGCAGCCGCGGUAAUACGGAGGAUCCGAGCGUUAUCCGGAUUUAUUGGGUUUAAAGGGAGCGUAGGUGGGUUGUUAAGUCAGUUGUGAAAGUUUGCGGCGCAACCGUGAAAUUGCAAUUGAUACUGGCAGCCGUGAGUACAGUAGAGGUAGGCGGAAUUCGUGGUGUAGCGGUGAAAUGCUUAGAUAUCACGAAGAACUCCGAUUGCGAAGGCAGCUCACUAAACUGCCACUGACAUUGAUGCUCGAAAGUGUGGGUAUCAAACAGGAUUAGAUACCCCAGUAGGC